RNAcentral lists this ribosomal RNA (553 nucleotides) under Bifidobacterium longum. RNAcentral describes it as "bacterial SSU rRNA". It matches the Rfam family "Bacterial small subunit ribosomal RNA", at positions 146 to 713 of the family's 1533-position model. The record is from RNAcentral. Lineage: Bacteria; Bacillati; Actinomycetota; Actinomycetes; Bifidobacteriales; Bifidobacteriaceae.
UCUCCUGGAAAAGGGUGGUAAUGCCGGAUGCUCCAGUUGAUCGCAUGGUCUUCUGGGAAAGCUUUCGCGGUAUGGGAUGGGGUCGCGUCCUAUCAGCUUGACGGCGGGGUAACGGCCCACCGUGGCUUCGACGGGUAGCCGGCCUGAGAGGGCGACCGGCCACAUUGGGACUGAGAUACGGCCCAGACUCCUACGGGAGGCAGCAGUGGGGAAUAUUGCACAAUGGGCGCAAGCCUGAUGCAGCGACGCCGCGUGAGGGAUGGAGGCCUUCGGGUUGUAAACCUCUUUUAUCGGGGAGCAAGCGAGAGUGAGUUUACCCGUUGAAUAAGCACCGGCUAACUACGUGCCAGCAGCCGCGGUAAUACGUAGGGUGCAAGCGUUAUCCGGAAUUAUUGGGCGUAAAGGGCUCGUAGGCGGUUCGUCGCGUCCGGUGUGAAAGUCCAUCGCUUAACGGUGGAUCCGCGCCGGGUACGGGCGGGCUUGAGUGCGGUAGGGGAGACUGGAAUUCCCGGUGUAACGGUGGAAUGUGUAGAUAUCGAAAAGAAACACCACA